CACUAGAUGGCUGAAAGCAAGUACUGGUCU
RNAcentral lists this transfer RNA (30 nucleotides) under Nicrophorus heurni. RNAcentral's name for it is "partial tRNA-Lys". The record is from RNAcentral. Lineage: Eukaryota; Metazoa; Arthropoda; Insecta; Coleoptera; Silphidae.